GCUAGACGAGUUUGAUCCUGGCUCAGAGCGAACGUUUGCGGCGGGCCUAACACAUGCAAGUCGAACGGGUUGGCAACAACCAGUGGCGCACGGGUGCGUAACACGUAGGUAAUCUACCCUCAAGUUCGGGAUAACGAUCUGAAAGGAUCGCUAAUACCGGAUGUGUUCCGAAAGGAAGAAAGACCCGCAAGGGUCGCUAGAGGACGAGCCUGCGGCCCAUCAGCUAGUUGGUGAGGUAAUGGCUCACCAAGGCUAAGACGGGUAGCUGGUCUGAGAGGAUGAUCAGUCACACUGGAACUGAGACACGGUCCAGACUCCUACGGGAGGCAGCAGUGGGGAAUAUUGCGCAAUGGGCGAAAGCCUGACGCAGCCACGCCGCGUGAGCGAUGAAGGCCUUCGGGUCGUAAAGCUCUGUGGGGAGAGACGAAGAAAGCCUGUGAAGAGCGGGCCUUGACGGUAUCUCCUUAGCAAGCACCGGCUAACUCCGUG
RNAcentral lists this ribosomal RNA (489 nucleotides) under uncultured bacterium. RNAcentral describes it as "bacterial SSU rRNA". It matches the Rfam family "Bacterial small subunit ribosomal RNA", at positions 1 to 507 of the family's 1533-position model. The record is from RNAcentral.